Molecule: long non-coding RNA, 293 nt
Filed under: Mytilus galloprovincialis (Mediterranean mussel)
Lineage: Eukaryota; Metazoa; Mollusca; Bivalvia; Mytilida; Mytilidae
Source: RNAcentral
AUUUUUUCCAAUACUUAUUAUUCCUUGUGAAAAUAAUUAAAAUAUUCACUGAAAACGCAUUUGUUAUCAAAUGUGAUAGCAUGUAUCGCAAAUCUUCGCUAUGUGCAAGAUGUAUAGCAAGGGAAAGUCCAAUUCUAUUUUUAGCCAACCACUGGCCAUAUAUAGUAACACGUGUUCACACAGUUCUAGUAUUCCUAAUGUAAAUCCAUGAAUAAUACGUGCAGAUUUAAAGUUUCCAAAACACAUGGAUUACGAAAUUUUUACACAUCCACUAUCACAUAAAUUUUCUAUCC